This 497-nucleotide ribosomal RNA is filed under the name uncultured bacterium. Its description in RNAcentral is "partial 16S ribosomal RNA". It matches the Rfam family "Bacterial small subunit ribosomal RNA", at positions 28 to 507 of the family's 1533-position model. The record is from RNAcentral.
GAUGAACGCUGGCGGCGUGCCUAAUACAUGCAAGUCGAGCGAACAGACGAGGAGCUUGCUCCUCUGACGUUAGCGGCGGACGGGUGAGUAACACGUGGAUAACCUACCUAUAAGACUGGGAUAACUUCGGGAAACCGGAGCUAAUACCGGAUAAUAUAUUGAACCGCAUGGUUCAAUAGCGAAAGACGGUUUUGCUGUCACUUAUAGAUGGAUCCGCGCCGCAUUAGCUAGUUGGUAAGGUAACGGCUUACCAAGGCAACGAUGCGUAGCCGACCUGAGAGGAUGAUCGGCCACACUGGAACUGAGACACGGUCCAGACUCCUACGGGAGGCAGCAGUAGGGAAUCUUCCGCAAUGGGCGAAAGCCUGACGGAGCAACGCCGCGUGAGUGAUGAAGGUCUUCGGAUCGUAAAACUCUGUUAUUAGGGAAGAACAAAUGUGUAAGUAACUAUGCACGUCUUGACGGUACCUAAUCAGAAAGCCACGGCUAACUACGUG